UACUGUGGGUUUUACGGGUCGUGAAAUGGGCUCGUUUAUUCGGGCUUGCUGAGCGCACUUGUUGCCUGCGUUUAUCACAAACUCUAUAAAGUAUUAGAAUGUGUAUUGCGAUGUAACGCAUCUAUAUACAACUUUCAGCAACGGAUCUCUUGGCUCUCGCAUCGAUGAAGAACGCAGCGAAAUGCGAUAAGUAAUGUGAAUUGCAGAAUUCAGUGAAUCAUCGAAUCUUUGAACGCACCUUGCGCUCCUUGGUAUUCCGAGGAGCAUGCCUGUUUGAGUGUCAUGAAAUCUUCAAUCUAUAAGCUUCUUAAUUGGAGUUUGUAGGCUUGGACUUGGAGGUUUGUCGGUCCUUUACAGGUCGGCUCCUCUUAAAUGCAUUAGCUUGGUUCCUUGCGGAUCGGCUUGUCGGUGUGAUAAUGUCUACGCCGCGACCGUGAAGCGUGUUUGGGCGAGCUUCUAACCGUCUCGUUAUAGAGACAACUUUAUGACCUCUGACCUCAAAUCAGGUAGGACUACCCGCUGAACUUAAGCAUAUCAA
This 538-nucleotide ribosomal RNA is filed under the name Ganoderma sp. BRFM 1030. Its description in RNAcentral is "eukaryotic LSU rRNA". The stretch from base 130 to 283 matches the Rfam family "5.8S ribosomal RNA". The record is from RNAcentral. Lineage: Eukaryota; Fungi; Basidiomycota; Agaricomycetes; Polyporales; Polyporaceae.